ACGGUCCUUCACCCUUCGGGGUGAAGGAUAGUGGCGAAUGGGUGAGUAACGCGUAAGUAACCUGCCCCCAAGUAGGGAAUAACUCCGAGAAAUUGGAGCUAAUACCGUAUGUGGUGAUGGGGGUAAUAGUCCAUUACUAAAGCCUUAGGGCGCUUGGGGAGGGGCUUGCGUCCGAUUAGCUAGUUGGUAGGGUAACGGUCUACCAAGGCGAUGAUCGGUAGCUGGUCUGAGAGGAUGGUCAGCCACACUGGGACUGAGACACGGCCCAGACUCCUACGGGAGGCAGCAGCAAGGAAUAUUGUGCAAUGGGCGAAAGCCUGACACAGCGACGCUGCGUGGGGGAUGAAGGCCUUCGGGUCGUAAACCCCUUUUCUCAGGGAAGAAUAAUGACGGUACCUGAGGAAUAAGUCAUGGCUAACUACGUGCCAGCAGCCGCGGUAAUACGUAGGUGGCGAGCGUUAUCCGGAUUUACUGGGCGUAAAGAGGGUGCAGGCGGUUCUUCAAGUCGGAUGUAAAAUCUCCCGGCUCAACGGGGAGGAACCAUUCGAUACUGUUGGGCUAGAGGGCAGCAGGGGGAGGUAGAAUUCCCGGUGUAGUGGUGAAAUGCGUAGAUAUCGGGAGGAAUACCAGUGGCGAAGGCGACCUCCUGGGCUGUUGCUGACGCUGAGGCCCGAAAGCGUGGGGAGCAAACAGGAUUAGAUACCCUGGUAGUCCACGCCGUAAACGAUGGACACUAGGUAUAGGGAGUAUCGACCCUCUCUGUGCCGAAGCUAACGCGUUAAGUGUCCCGCCUGGGGACUACGGCCGC
This 808-nucleotide ribosomal RNA is filed under the name uncultured bacterium. RNAcentral's name for it is "bacterial SSU rRNA". It matches the Rfam family "Bacterial small subunit ribosomal RNA", at positions 66 to 889 of the family's 1533-position model. The record is from RNAcentral.